AUAUUGCGCAAUGGGGGAAACCCUGACGCAGCAACGCCGCGUGAGUGAGGAAGGUCUUCGGAUUGUAAAACUCUUUUCUUAGGGAAAAAUGUCUCAGGGGCUAAUAUCUCCUGAGAGUGAUGGUACCUAAGGAAUAAGCACCGGCUAACUUCGUGCCAGCAGCCGCGGUAAUACGAAGGGUGCAAGCGUUGUUCGGAAUCAUUGGGCGUAAAGCGCGCGCAGGCGGAUUGGCAAGUCAGGUGUGAAAUCUCGAGGCUCAACCUCGAAACUGCGCCUGAAACUGCUAGUCUAGAAUGUCGGAGGGGGCAGGGGAAUUUCACGUGUAGGGGUAAAAUCCGUAGAGAUGUGAAGGAACACCGGAGGCGAAGGCGCCUGCCUGGACGACUAUUGACGCUGAGGCGCGAAAGCGUGGGGAGCAAACAGG
This 424-nucleotide ribosomal RNA is filed under the name uncultured bacterium. RNAcentral's name for it is "bacterial SSU rRNA". It matches the Rfam family "Bacterial small subunit ribosomal RNA", at positions 361 to 776 of the family's 1533-position model. The record is from RNAcentral.